Molecule: unclassified non-coding RNA, 834 nt
Filed under: Hevea brasiliensis (rubber tree)
Lineage: Eukaryota; Viridiplantae; Streptophyta; Magnoliopsida; Malpighiales; Euphorbiaceae
Source: RNAcentral
GAGUUGGGCUCAAAUCAGAGUCCAGAAGUCGGUCCAAACUCCACACGCAUAAACCCUUCUCACUUCUCUCCUGGAAAACCCUCAGCUCUCAACGAAACCCUUUCCGACUUCACUAGACCCAUCAAUGGCAACUCUUAAGGAAAUAUUAACGCGGCGACCGGUAGCGGCGACAAUUCGCCUCACCGUCCCAGCCGGCGGGGCCCGCCCGGCGCCGCCUGUGGGUCCUGCACUUGGGCAGUACCGUCUCAACUUAAUGGCAUUCUGCAAGGACUUCAACGCACGGACCCAGAAAUACAAGCCGGACACUCCCAUGGCCGUCACCAUAACGGCGUUCAAGGACAACACCUUCGAGUUCACUGUGAAGUCACCAUCGGUUACCUGGUACUUGAAGAAAGCAGCCGGGAUCGAGUCCGGUAGCAGCCGGCCGGGACACGUGGUGGCGUCGACGUUAACUUUGAAGCAUAUAUACGAGAUUGCGAAGGUGAAGCAGUCUGAUCCUUAUUGUCAAUACAUGUCUCUUGAGUCUAUUUCUAAGUCUAUUAUUGGGACUGCAACUAGUAUGGGAAUUAAGGUUGUGAAGGACUUGGAUUAGUGGGAAAAUGCAAAUUUUUAUGAUUUUUUAUGAUAUGGAUUUGAUGAUAUUGUGUUCUUGUCUGGUUGCAAUGUUAAAAUAAGCUAAAACAGUUGCAUUGUUGAUGGAGAAUUUCUUGAAAUUUGUUAUUUAAUGCUAAAUUGUGUAUCCAGUUGCUGUCACUCUACCGAGCUUAUGAUUUUAAGAAGCCUUCCAUGAACUUGCCUUGCUGUUAAGAUUGUGCAUAUUGGACUCAAAGUAAU